Molecule: long non-coding RNA, 689 nt
Organism: Nicotiana attenuata
Lineage: Eukaryota; Viridiplantae; Streptophyta; Magnoliopsida; Solanales; Solanaceae
Exons: 3
Source: RefSeq, a predicted model, not a curated record
ACGCACACUACAUCUCUGAUAUACUCAAACGCCACUCAUCACAAAAAGCUUCUAUAUUCUCUCUUCCAAAAUGCCUUCAUCGAUCAGUUCGCCGGAGAUAACGAGGAGGACAAACCACCAUCGGCGGCACCGGUGAAUAGAGAACUAACAUGCUACCAAGACUGUAUUAAAAGAGCAAAAAGGAAAUCUUGGAUCUUCUUUAGAUGCUACUGAUGAGAGGAUACAACAGAAAAUGGAGGAAAUGGAAGAGACGAUGCAACAAAGAACGCAGAAAAAGUUCACCGAACAAAAGGAUGCUAUGGAAUAAAAUAUUAUAAUGAACGUCGUUGCACGACUUCAGCGUCUGAACCCAAAUUUUCGGCUUGAUCCUGACAUAUUAAGGUUCAGUGCACGUCCACCUGUAAAAGCUUCCUCUGCAGAACAAGCUGCUGUUCAACUAAACAGUCGACCAUAUGCUGGUAGUAACAAUUAAGGUGGAGUAGAUCAAGAAAAGAAUGAUGAAGGCAGUGAAGAACUAGAUCUUACUUGAGAUGAAUUUUGAAUUGUCAUAGAUGAAUGUUCUAGGAAUCUUUUGUUAUCAAUAUAUUUGAAACUUACUCUUUUGAAAUGUACUAAACUUAUGCACUUUGGGUAGAACAUUUGCUUGAUGGAUAAUUUUAUAUUAUUGUAUAGUUUCAUUUUAUGAUGUA